UAUUGACUGAAUCGAGCAUCUCUGGAAAUAGGAAAGGCAUAUGCCUGUGUAAAGUUGUAUACGUCUUGUCUAAUGACUUGUUUGUUUUUUCAGACAUGCAUGUCAUGAUCCAGGUGUUAGCCAUAGUGGGAAAGAUUGAUGUGUCUUCUGCUUUAUGCAUCAUCUUUGUGUUCUUCACUGAGCUGAUCCUACCGUGUUCAGAAACAUGGGCUUAGGGGUUGCACCCUGAACGCAUAGGCACCAUCAUUUCUCCUUUUGUGAUCUACAUGGGCGUGUACAGUAAGAUCCUCACAUACAUUGUUUUUGGCACAAUCAGCAUCAUGGCUGCUGCUGUUAACAUGUUGCUGCCAGACACUAGAAAUACCAAACUUCCUGACCUCAUCAGCCAGGCCAAACACAUCAGAGGCUGCUGCUAUAAGGAAACUGCUACAGCCCUGUCGGAUCUGAUGGCUGUAACACCAUGAGCAAGAGCGCACUCUGCUAGCAGAAAAGCACAAAUCAAGAGUGGAGUGAUGACAUUAAAUUACCUUCGAAAC
Molecule: long non-coding RNA, 536 nt
Organism: Eleginops maclovinus (Patagonian blennie)
Lineage: Eukaryota; Metazoa; Chordata; Actinopteri; Perciformes; Eleginopidae
Exons: 3
Source: RefSeq, a predicted model, not a curated record